AACUCUGCUAGGUAUUGACCACAGAGCAUGCAUGGUGCUCUGCAAAUUGUUUUCAUCAGUUCAUUUGAGGAACGUGCCCGGUAACUGCUGGCGACUCUCCUCUCAGGAAGCUGCCUUGCGGUGGGUCGUGGAGGGGGGCGGCAAACAAUAAAUACGUAGGUGUCAUGGAGGAAACUGAAAGAGGAUAAAGUUAGAAUGGGGAACGGGUUGACUAAGACCCCUCAGAAAAUAGGAAGAAGCCGAACUAUCUGCCAGGAAGAGCGUUCCCAGCAAGGGAAACAGCUAGGGUGGGAGUAAGCUUGGCGCGUUUGGGCACCGAAAGGCCUGUGGACCUGGAGCUCAGAGGGCCGAGAGGUGGGUAGGAGACACAUCAUUAGCUCUGUAAAUCAAGUAAGCGCUUUAGACGCUAUUCUCACACAGUGGGAAACUAUGAGGGCAUUUAAAAUUUGAGCCCGAAUGGAAGAUCAUUCUGGUUCCUUUGAGGAGAACAAAUUUUUCAGGGGGCGGUGGUAGAGACAGGAAGAACGUUAGGAGUCUCUUCUUUGUUAUAAAGAUGGCCAGUUACUGAAUGCUUUGUCUUUGCCAGGAACUAUGCUAGGUGCUUUACAUGCAUUUUCUCAUUUAAUCCUUAAAAGUACUUUUUGAAGCAGGUGCAGUAAUUUUCCCCGUUUUACAGGAGCAGGGGAAUUGAGCCUUAGGGAGACAGGAGGGGGUCAAAGAAAGGGGGCAGGCAGUUCAUCGUUGAAAUAAUCUGAAUCUUGAAUCCUGAAUUUUUUUUUGAAAUACCCAAAUUAUCACUUUUACUUAAUAUUUGGAUUAUUUAAAUAAUUGGAGAUCUGUUUCCCCCCUUUUUUCCUUAUCUCUCCAUUCACAGUAUUAUCAGUAUAAAAUUGGAAGUGACCUUGGAGAUAAUGAGUCCUACUCCUUUGCUGCACUAAUGGUUUAAGACAAGGAUCAGCAAACUAUGGCUCCUGGGCCAAAGCUGGCUUGCAGGCUAAAGAUUGUUACAUUCUUUUAAAAGAUUUUAAAAAAUGCAAAGAAUAUUUUGUAAUGUGAAAAUUGUGUAAAAGUUAAAGUUCAUUAUCCACAAAGAAAGUUUUAUGGGCACCCAGCCACCACUCAUUCUUACCUGGCUGUUCUGGAAUUACUGUGGCUGAGUUGAGCAGUUGACCCAUGUUGUUACCUGAAAACUAGGUUCACCUCUCGGUGGAUGUCAAGCCAGAAGACACAAGCAAGCCAAAGAUUAGGAGAAGGAAGGAUUUAUUACUUGCAGCAAGUAAGGAGAACCCCGGGGAUCUUCCCCAAAGCAGGGUCACGCGGAACAGCAAAACUGCGGGAGCUUUAAGCUAAGGGUACAAGCAUAUUCAUGAAGGGGCUUGAGCAGAGGAGAAUUCAGCAUAGAAUUGGGGCCAGGGUCGACAGAGUCCUAGCGUUAGUUGAUUGAAGUCACAGGGGUCAACAUAGUCAUUUCCAUCCUCCACCUGAGGAUGGAGAAACUUAAAGACGGUAUCAGAUUGUUAUAUAUUUCCCUUGAGGAGGAACUAGGACUCUGUUUUACCACUAGACUAUUGUUUCUUGACUGCUUUUCCUUUGUUCCUGCAUUCCCUUACUUCCCUUAAGAUCAUUAAUUACUGAGACCUGUUCAAGAGCAGGCACUGUGGCCAAGCUUAGAGCACAAAAUGGCUUAGGCCAAAAAUGGCUUCUCAUGUGGAGAAAGACAUGCUAGUUCUCUUUCUCCAGGGACCCACUACCCUCUCUGCUUACAAUAUGGCCUGCAAACCAUAAAGUAUUUACUAUCUGAUCCCUUACAGAAAGAGUGUGUUGACCCCUGGAUUAAGAGAUUGUGAUUUUUACUAGGGCUACCAGCGAAACUAGGAGUAGAACCCACAUGUCUAAAUCUAGUGCUUUUUAUGCUAUUUCACACUAAGAAUCUUAGUAUAAUGUUUGAUUUCAGUGUUUUCUUUAUCAUGAACUUAAUUUCUAAAUGUGUAAUGUAUACAAAUGUUGUAAAAUCCAAAAGGGACUAUAGUUUCUGUGUAUCCUUCUAGAGCUAGUCUAUGCAGAUAAGUAUGAACUUGUAUUUUUUUCAUUAUAAAUCUUACCACAUCAUAUAUAUUGUUCUGCAUUCCCCCACCCACCUCCUUCACCCCCCCAACACACACACACACACACACACACACACACACACUUAAAAAUACAUCUUGGAAAUACUUUGUGUUGGUGGGAACAUUGGCUCUGGAGCUAGACCCCUGGACUUAAAUCCUACCUAGCUUCAUUACUUACCAUUCAUUAGUUGUAACCGUGCUAAGUUACUUAACCUUUCUGUGUCAGUUUCUGCAGCCCAAAAAAGAAAAUAAAGAAAGAAAGAAAGAAUAAUGGGAUUAGUUUGAGACAUGAGCUAUACCUGUAAACAAUUAGGACUCCCUGGCACAGUAAGUGUUCAGUAAAUGUUAGCAACAGCAGCAUCAUAAAUUGCUACUUUGUUCUUAAUUAUGUAAAAUAACUGUUUGAAGUAACUGUGUAAAAUACCAUAGCCUUACAUUUAGGUCUUUAAUCCAUUUAGAGUUUCUUUUUGUGUACUGUGUUAGGAAGUGUUCUAAUUUCAUUCUUUUACAUGUAGCUGUCCAGUUUUCCCAGCACCAUGUAUUGAAGAGGCUGUCUUUUCUCCAUUGUAUAUUCUUGCCUCCUUUAUCAAAGAUAAGGUGACCAUAUGUGCGUGAACACUCUAUGACAUAAAUCACAGUAAGAUCCUUUUUGACCCAUCUCCUAGGGAAAUGGAAAUAAAAACAAAAUGGGACCUAAUGAAACUUAAAAGCUUUUGCACAGCAAAGGAAACCAUAAACAAGAAAAAAAGACAGCCCUCAGAAUGGGAGAAAAUAUUUGCAAACGAAGCAACUGACAAAGGAUUAAUCUCCAAAAUGUACAAGCAGCUCAUGCAGCUCAAUAUCAAAAAAAACAAGCCAAUCCAAAAAUGGGCAGGAGACCUAAACAGACAUUUCUCCAAAGAAGAUAUACAGAUAUACAGAUUGCCAACAAACACAUGAAAGGAUGCUCAACAUCACUAAUCAUUAGAGAAAUGCAAAUCAAAACUACAAUGAGCUAUCACCUCACACGGAUGGCCAGAAUGGCCAUCAUCAAAAAAUCUACAAACGAUAGAUGCUGGAGAGGGUGUGGAGGAAAGGGAACCCUCUUGCACUGUUGGUGGGAAUGUAAACUGAUACAGCCACUAUGGAGAACAGUAUGGAGGUUCCUUAAAAAACUAAAAAUAGAACUACCAUAUGACCCAGCAUUCCCACUACUGGGCAUAUACCUGAGAAAACCAUAAUUCAAAGAGUCAUGUACCACAGUGUUCAUUGCAGCACUAUUUACAAUACCCAGGACAUGGAAGCAACCUAAGUGUCCAUCAACAGAUGAAUGGAUAAAGAAGAUGUGGCACAUAUAUAUACAAUGGAAUAUUACUCAGCCAUAAAAAGAAACGAAAUUGAGUUAUUUGUAGUGAGGUGGAUGGACCUAGAGUCUGUCAUAGAGAGUGAAGUAAGUCAGAAAGAGAAAAACAAAUACCAUAUGCUAACACAUAUAUAUGGAAUCUAAAAAAAGAAGGUUCUGAUGAACCUAGGGGCAGGACAGGAAUAAAGACGCAGACAUAGAGAAUGGACUUGAGGACAUGGGGAGGGGGAAGGGUAAGCUGGGACGAAGUGAGAGAGUAGUAUUGACAUAUACACUACCAAAUGUGAAAUAGAUAGCUAGUGGGAAGCAGCUGCAUAGCACAGGGAGAUCAGCUCAGUGCUUUGUGACCACAUAGAGGGGUGGGAUAGGGAGGGUGGGAGGGAGAUACGUAUAGCUCAUUUGCUUUGUUAUACAGCAGAAACUAACACAACAUUACAAAGCAAUUAUACUCCAAUAAAGAUUUUAAAAAUAAAAUACCGUUGCAUGGCUGUUUUAAUUAACUGACUGCCUAUUGAUGAUUAUCUUUUAUGAUUUCAAACAGUGUUGAAAUGAAUUGUCUUGUCCAUGCAAUUUAGCAGUGAGAUUGGGCAUAUUUUCAUGGGUUUAAGAGUCAUUAAUAUUUUUCUUUUCUGUGAACAGUCUGUCCAUCCUCUGCCUAUUAAGUUACUGGUCAUUUCCUUAUUGAUUAUAGGAGGCUUUUUACAUAUUAUGGAAAUCAGCACAAUAUAUGAUUUAAAAGUAUUUUUUGUUUCAUUGCUUGCCUUUUGACUUUACUGUUUUGUUUUUUUGUUUUUCUUAGCAUGCAGAAAACUUUGUUAAUUUUUUUUUAAACAAAAGCCAUAUGAUGUAGUUUGAGGUCAUGUUAAAUAGCUUGAUAUAGUUAAAUAGGUUUAUCUUACUUUGACAUUACUUAAAACUUCUCCCAUGUUGUCUUCUAGUACACUUAUGAUUUCUGUUUUUAUAUUUAAAUCGUUAGCUAGAAAAUAAAAGCAUAUAGUAAGGGGACUUCUCUGGGGGUCCAGUGGUUAAGACUCCACACUCCCAAUGCAGAGGGCACGGGUUCGAUCCCUGGUCAGGGAACUAAGAUCCCACAUGCCACAUGGCGUGGCCAAAAAAUAAAUAAAAUAUUUCCUUCCUUUAAAAAAAAAAAAA
Orcinus orca (killer whale) is the source of this 4599-nucleotide long non-coding RNA. RefSeq lists it as uncharacterized. The record is from RefSeq and is a predicted model, not a curated record. Lineage: Eukaryota; Metazoa; Chordata; Mammalia; Artiodactyla; Delphinidae. The transcript has 2 exons.